ACAAUGAAGAGUUUGAUCCUGGCUCAGGAUGAACGCUAGCUACAGGCUUAACACAUGCAAGUCGAGGGGCAGCAUUUUAGUUUGCUUGCAAACUAAAGAUGGCGACCGGCGCACGGGUGAGUAACACGUAUCCAACCUGCCGAUAACUCGGGGAUAGCCUUUCGAAAGAAAGAUUAAUAUCCGAUAGUAUAUUAAAACCGCAUGGUUUUACUAUUAAAGAAUUUCGGUUAUCGAUGGGGAUGCGUUCCAUUAGUUUGUUGGCGGGGUAACGGCCCACCAAGACUACGAUGGAUAGGGGUUCUGAGAGGAAGGUCCCCCACAUUGGAACUGAGACACGGUCCAAACUCCUACGGGAGGCAGCAGUGAGGAAUAUUGGUCAAUGGACGAGAGUCUGAACCAGCCAAGUAGCGUGAAGGAUGACUGCCCUAUGGGUUGUAAACUUCUUUUAUAUGGGAAUAAAGUAUUCCACGUGUGGGAUUUUGUAUGUACCAUAUGAAUAAGGAUCGGCUAACUCCGUGCCAGCAGCCGCGGUAAUACGGAGGAUCCGAGCGUUAUCCGGAUUUAUUGGGUUUAAAGGGAGCGUAGGUGGAUUGUUAAGUCAGUUGUGAAAGUUUGCGGCUCAACCGUAAAAUUGCAGUUGAAACUGGCAGUCUUGAGUACAGUAGAGGUGGGCGGAAUUCGUGGUGUAGCGGUGAAAUGCUUAGAUAUCACGAAGAACUCCGAUUGCGAAGGCAGCUCACUAGACUGCAACUGACACUGAUGCUCGAAAGUGUGGGUAUCAAACAGGAUUAGAUACCCUGGUAGUCCACACAGUAAACGAUGAAUACUCGCUGUUUGCGAUAUACAGUAAGCGGCCAAGCGAAAGCAUUAAGUAUUCCACCUGGGGAGUACGCCGGCAACGGUGAAACUCAAAGGAAUUGACGGGGGCCCGCACAAGCGGAGGAACAUGUGGUUUAAUUCGAUGAUACGCGAGGAACCUUACCCGGGCUUAAAUUGCAUUUGAAUAAUCUGGAAACAGGUUAGCCGCAAGGCAAAUGUGAAGGUGCUGCAUGGUUGUCGUCAGCUCGUGCCGUGAGGUGUCGGCUUAAGUGCCAUAACGAGCGCAACCCUUAUCUUUAGUUACUAACAGGUCAUGCUGAGGACUCUAGAGAGACUGCCGUCGUAAGAUGUGAGGAAGGUGGGGAUGACGUCAAAUCAGCACGGCCCUUACGUCCGGGGCUACACACGUGUUACAAUGGGGGGUACAGAAGGCAGCUACCUGGCGACAGGAUGCUAAUCCCAAAAACCUCUCUCAGUUCGGAUCGAAGUCUGCAACCCGACUUCGUGAAGCUGGAUUCGCUAGUAAUCGCGCAUCAGCCAUGGCGCGGUGAAUACGUUCCCGGGCCUUGUACACACCGCCCGUCAAGCCAUGAAAGCCGGGGGUACCUGAAGUACGUAACCGCAAGGAGCGUCCUAGGGUAAAACUGGUAAUUGGGGCUAAGUCGUAACAAGGUAGCCGUACCGGAAGGUGCGGCUGGAACACCUCCUUU
This 1529-nucleotide ribosomal RNA is filed under the name Bacteroides xylanisolvens. RNAcentral's name for it is "bacterial SSU rRNA". It matches the Rfam family "Bacterial small subunit ribosomal RNA". The record is from RNAcentral. Lineage: Bacteria; Pseudomonadati; Bacteroidota; Bacteroidia; Bacteroidales; Bacteroidaceae. RNAcentral also lists the same sequence under 2 other names.